GGGGGCAUAGCUUAACGGUAGAGCCCUUGCCUAGCAUAUGUGAGGCCUUGGGUUUGAGCCCUAGUGCCACCA
This 72-nucleotide transfer RNA is filed under the name Fukomys damarensis (Damara mole-rat). It matches the Rfam family "tRNA". Rfam says of the family: Transfer RNA (tRNA) molecules are approximately 80 nucleotides in length. Their secondary structure includes four short double-helical elements and three loops (D, anti-codon, and T loops). Further hydrogen bonds mediate the characteristic L-shaped molecular structure. tRNAs have two regions of fundamental functional importance: the anti-codon, which is responsible for specific mRNA codon recognition, and the 3' end, to which the tRNAs corresponding amino acid is attached (by aminoacyl-tRNA synthetases). tRNAs cope with the degeneracy of the genetic code in two manners: having more than one tRNA (with a specific anti-codon) for a particular amino acid; and 'wobble' base-pairing, i.e. permitting non-standard base-pairing at the 3rd anti-codon position. The record is from Rfam by way of RNAcentral. Lineage: Eukaryota; Metazoa; Chordata; Mammalia; Rodentia; Bathyergidae.